Molecule: long non-coding RNA, 1126 nt
Filed under: Struthio camelus australis
Lineage: Eukaryota; Metazoa; Chordata; Aves; Struthioniformes; Struthionidae
Description: lncRNA (ENSSCUG00000015194.1)
Source: RNAcentral
CACAGCCCCCUGCGAACGCACCGCAGGCUCAUACCUCUUCGGCUUUCUCUCUUCCAGCCUACCCAUGUGGUUUAACCGUGCUGACUUUGGAUGUAAAUCCACUCAGAAACCCUUCUUGUGAGAAAGAUAUGGUGGCUGUGAGUGGGAUCUAGUGUUCAUGGUUGAAAAGAGCUUUCCGUACAGGAGUGAGCAAACCUGUGUCUCAUGCUUGGAGGACGAUGGAUCUGAGAAGGCAGGAGCCCUGAUCUCAGCAUGUCCUGUGCUGGGACCAUUCACAACAUUUUUUUUCUGGUGUGCAUUGGCUGAUGAUAGAGGUGAGUGUUUCCCCGAGCCGCUCCCUUCUGCACAGAGCUGCUCUGCCUCGUGGUCUAAGUGGUACCCCUGGGGUGCCGCGUGGAGCAAGGCGCGCUGUGGAGGCAAGCUCAGCGCCACCGCUAGCCCGAGUCUUGGCUGUUUUUGUGUGUCGCAGAGGAAUGCGAUCCCUUGGAAGCCUCUGCCUAUCUGUCAAACCUGAGAUCAGCCGACAGGUUCAAAAGUUAUUUGGGGAAGUGAUGACUGACAGAACAAUUGCAUGUCUUUUUUUUUUUUCUUUUUUCAGGAAACCGGGCUAAAAAAGCACACAGCUAAACAUGAAGAGUAUUUUCUGUUUCAUGGGGCAUGCAUAGCCUACAGAAUGGUGUGUUGUUACACUCCUGCUGAUGCUCCUUUGACAUGAGCCAUGCAGUCGUUCUGUCUUCCUAUCAAAAAAGCCUUUGUACUACUUGUCAUCAUCGUGCAGCGUCUCUGUAUAUGUGUAAACUAUACAUUUACUAUAUCCCCUAGUCUAAAUCCUUCUGCUGCCUGCAGGUAGGCAGUUCUGCUAAAGCUUUCUGCUUUGUUUAAAGCAGCUCAUUGCCAGUCAAUGAAAUGUACUCUGCAGAACGAGAAAACCUUAGGAAAUCUAAAGUUGUUGAUUUACAGUAAUACGAGAAAGAGGGGACAUGAAAGCUGGACUCAGUCACAGAUGCUUAGUGUCCUUCACUUGCUUAGCCCAUCCUUCACUUGUAGGAGGUCAAGGAAGCAACCCACAAUUGAGAGAGAGAGAUGGCUGAAUAAAGUUCACUGGGCAUUUGUGGUGUGUAGGAGG